GGUUUAUCUAAAAGUAGCAUAAUGCCAUUAUUUUUUAUGAUGAGUUUGCUAGACUUAGGGGUGCUAGUCUAGUGAUCAUGAGUUUUGCUCAUGAAUCUAUCAGUGCUUACUCUGCUCUUGGCAUUGGGGCAAAGGGUACGGCUUGCCGUGAAUGGGUGUGGUUAGGUUGGAAUCCUCUAGUGAUAUUAAACUCAGUACUGAUGGGUCGCGUGAUAACUCCACUGGUUAUGCUUCUACUGGUGGUGUUAUCAGGAUUGUGUGGGCUCUUAGAUAGGAGAUUUUGUUGUCAACUUGGGUUUUUGCCCUAUAGUCAUGGCAGAAUUGUGGGGUUUGUAUCUUGGAUAGCAAUAUGCUUGCAACAAGGGAAUUACAGUGGUGAACAUGGAGUUGGAUAGUGCUACUGCUGUUGCACUAUAUCAGCAAAGAGGUCGUUCAUAAUUCAUCGGCUAGUCUUCUUCGUAGCAUUAAAAAGCUUCUCUAAAGAGAUUGGGUUGCUGAUGUCAAGCAUGUGCAUAGAGAGUAAUCAUUGUGCUGACUAGAUGGCGCACCUGAGUAGUUCUAUUCCAUUGGGCUUUCAAUGUAUAAGGCUCCUCAUGUGGGAGUGAGCUCUUUGCUGCUUCAUAACAUUUGUGGGAUCUCUUAUCCCAGGUUUUGUGUGAGGCAGAAGUGAAUUGUAC
This 677-nucleotide unclassified non-coding RNA is filed under the name Hevea brasiliensis (rubber tree). The record is from RNAcentral. Lineage: Eukaryota; Viridiplantae; Streptophyta; Magnoliopsida; Malpighiales; Euphorbiaceae.